Molecule: long non-coding RNA, 494 nt
Organism: Cimex lectularius (bed bug)
Lineage: Eukaryota; Metazoa; Arthropoda; Insecta; Hemiptera; Cimicidae
Exons: 3
Source: RefSeq, a predicted model, not a curated record
GUUUAGAAAAUGAGAAGCGGACAACGCAAAACUAGUCAGCCCCACCACAGACUGUGUCAUCGCCAGUGAGUGAAGGUUGCCGUCGGUAGCAGGGGUAAGCAGACUGCGCUGUGCUGGAUCAGGUAUCGAGUUACAGGCGUACAUGCGCACUCACCCAGUCGGUACAGUGUUGUCUAGGGGGGAUGUACACCGUUCCAGUCUAACCCAUCGUCAGACAGGGCUUAGCUCAAUUACACUAAGGUUGGUGAAUUUUGCAACAAACUAUUGGUAUUGGUAGGUAAUUGAUUAUUUUUAAAGAUUUUUUUUUAUUGAAAGCAAUAUUGUGUUGUGACAAUUAUUGAUUGAGUUUAUGGUUUCAAAAACAUUUCCUUGCUUACUGUUAUAUUAGCGUCGUUGAUUUACAAUUUGAUAUAUUUUAAAUAAUAUAUUGUAAUGAAUAAGGCAAAAGAUGGAAAUUGUAUAAACAAAUUGGAGUUAUACUAUUUAUUACAAUU